AAGGAUCAUUACAGAGUUCAUGCCCUCACGGGUAGAUCUCCCACCCUUGAAUAUUAUACCUUAGUUGCUUUGGCAGGCCGGGGCAACCCCCGGGGCUUCGGCCUUGGUGUGCCUGCCAGAGGAAACAAACUCUGUUUUUAGUGAUGUCUGAGUACUAUAUAAUAGUUAAAACUUUCAACAACGGAUCUCUUGGUUCUGGCAUCGAUGAAGAACGCAGCGAAAUGCGAUAAGUAAUGUGAAUUGCAGAAUUCAGUGAAUCAUCAAAUCUUUGAACGCACAUUGCGCCCCGUGGUAUUCCGCGGGGCAUGCCUGUUCGAGCGUCAUUUCAACCCAUCAAGCUUCGGCUUGGUCUUGGGGCCUGCGAUUCCGCAGCCUCUAAACCCAGUGGCGGUGCCUCCGAGCUCUGAGCGUAGUAAUUCUUCUCGCUAUAGGGUCUCGGUGGUGUCUUGCCAGCAACCCCCAAUUUUUUACAGGUUGACCUCGGAUCAGGUAGGGAUACCCGCUGAACUUAAGCAUAUCAAUAAGCGGAGGAAAAGAAACCAACAGGGAUUACCUCAGUAACGGCGAGUGAAGCGGUAACAGCUCAAAUUUGAAAUCUGCCGCAAGGCCGAGUUGUAAUUUGUAGAAGAUGCUUUGGGUAUGGCCCCGGUCUAAGUUCGUUGGAACACGACGUCAUAGAGGGUGAGAAUCCCGUAUGUAACUGGGUGCUUUUGCCUAUGUAAAGCUCUUUCGACGAGUCGAGUUGUUUGGGAAUGCAGCUCAAAAUGGGUGGUAUAUUUCAUCUAAAGCUAAAUAUUGGCCAGAGACCGAUAGCGCACAAGUAGAGUGAUCGAAAGAUGAAAAGCACUUUGGAAAGAGAGUUAAACAGUACGUGAAAUUGUUGAAAGGGAAGCGCUUGCAACCAGACUUGCACGCUGUUGAUCAUCCAGGCUUCUGUCUGGUGCACUCGGCAGCGUUCAGGCCAGCAUCGGUUCUGGUGGUGGGAUAAAGGCCUUGGGAAUGUAGCUUCUUUCGGGGAGUGUUAUAGCCCUCGGUGCAAUGCCGCCUAUCGGGACCGAGGACCGCGCUUCGGCUAGGAUGCUGGCGUAAUGGUUGUAAGCGACC
This 1104-nucleotide ribosomal RNA is filed under the name uncultured Lemonniera. RNAcentral's name for it is "eukaryotic LSU rRNA". The stretch from base 476 to 1104 matches the Rfam family "Eukaryotic large subunit ribosomal RNA", at positions 1 to 649 of the family's 3401-position model. The record is from RNAcentral. Lineage: Eukaryota; Fungi; Ascomycota.